AUUGAACGCUGGCGGCAUGCUUUACACAUGCAAGUCGAACGGUAACAGGCCUUCGGGUGCUGACGAGUGGCGAACGGGUGAGUAAUGCAUCGGAACGUACCCAGAGGUGGGGGAUAACGCAGCGAAAGCUGUGCUAAUACCGCAUGUGAUCUGAGGAUGAAAGCGGGGGACCGAGCAGCAAUGUUUGGCCUCGCGCCUUUGGAGCGGCCGAUGUCGGAUUAGCUAGUUGGUGGGGUAAAGGCCUACCAAGGCGACGAUCCGUAGCUGGUCUGAGAGGACGACCAGCCAAACUGGGACUGAGGCACGGCCCAGACUCCUACGGGAGGCAGCAGUGGGGAAUUUUGGACAAUGGGCGCAAGCCUGAUCCAGCAAUGCCGCGUGCGGGAAGAAGGCCUUCGGGUUGUAAACCGCUUUUGGCAGGAACGAAACGGUGUCCGCUAAUACCGGGCGCUAAUGACGGUACCUGCAGAAUAAGCACCGGCUAACUACGUG
RNAcentral lists this ribosomal RNA (492 nucleotides) under uncultured bacterium. RNAcentral's name for it is "partial 16S ribosomal RNA". It matches the Rfam family "Bacterial small subunit ribosomal RNA", at positions 29 to 507 of the family's 1533-position model. The record is from RNAcentral.